Long non-coding RNA from Haemorhous mexicanus (house finch), 1302 nucleotides. RefSeq lists it as uncharacterized. The transcript has 2 exons. NCBI's taxonomy places the organism in Eukaryota, Metazoa, Chordata, Aves, Passeriformes, Fringillidae. The record is from RefSeq and is a predicted model, not a curated record.
CUGCACAUGGGAAGGGAAUUCCCAGAGGACUCCAGCCUGAACACAGAUGAAUAUUCUGCAGUCUCCAGCAACAAUUUUCUUUGGGCUUUUUGUUGUUGCAGCUCUUCUGGCUGUGAGGAUGACCUGAAAGUGUGAAGAAAGUGCAUCAGCUCUAAUGUUAUCUUGCAAGAAAUCCCAAACCAACCCCAUAUCCCAACCCCAAACCCAACAAGUUUUCUGCAGGAGCUUCUAAAGAAUCCUUUGCAAGAUAAUUUCCCCCCUGAUUCUUCUCACUAGGAAACUUGUCUAAAUCUGAAGAUGAUAGUUUAACAUCCCCAUAGUCUAACAUAUUUCUUUCCUAGCCCAAGCUACUUUCUCCAUGUCACCAAGCCUGAGCUUUCAGCAUCACAAACCUCCUGUUUCUGGCCUGGCAGUUUCUGGGAUGGGGCAUCAGGAAUGCAUUUACUUGAGUGUCAGUGGCACUGCAGAGAUGCACUUGAUGUAAGAAUCCUUGAAGUAACACAGUCAGACCACACUGACUCUGGAAAAUGGCCUGUAAAGCUGGUGUCCAUAUUUGGAGAAGCAAAAUGUGCUAUUUCAGAUGGAGGUUCCUACUAACAGAGUCAGCCAAUGAAACUGGCUCUCAAGGCGAGAUCAUUUGGAUGUUGCAGUGGCUGUGGCAGCCCCAGGGUUUGGGUUUUUAGUUUGCAUAGAAAAAUGAGCUGUGAGCAGCAUCUCUGGCAGGGAGAAAGAUGCCCCUGGAGCUGGGGCUGAGGACCCAGGGUGGAUGUGAGCCCGUGUGGGUGUGAAGGAAGCUGGCAGAGCGCUGAGUUUGCUUUCCCUGCAGGCUCGUGCUCUGAUCCGGCAGAACGGGACCCCGCAGCUGCAGGAGCCCCGGCGCCUGUCGGCUCUGCUGCGGGACUUCCUCGAGUGCAGCCUGGAGCCGGACGAGGAGCGGCGCUGGGCUGCCCGGGAGCUGCUGCAGCACCCAUUUUUGUCAUCAGCCAAGCCUCUCUCCAGCCUGACCCCUCUGAUCACUGCAGCAAAGCAACUGAGGGAGGAGCGGAGGAGAUGAAGCUCUUGAGGACAGCCUUUAAUUACAGUAGUUAGGAGAACUAGUUGGUUAUGGUAGUUAGCACUGGUAGUUUGUUAUGGUAGUUAGCAUUGCUAGUUAGUUAUGGUAGUUAGCACAGUCUGUUUGUUAGGGUAGUUAGAAUUGGUAGUUAGUUAUGGUAGUUAGCACAGCCUGUUUGUUAUGGUUCUUAUGACAGCGAAACAGGCUGUUUUCGCAGGUUUUUGAAUAAAAAUUCUCUUAAACCUCAA